Molecule: non-coding RNA, 633 nt
Organism: Camellia sinensis
Lineage: Eukaryota; Viridiplantae; Streptophyta; Magnoliopsida; Ericales; Theaceae
Source: RefSeq, a predicted model, not a curated record
GACCCCUAGUGGUUACCUUAAACUACCAAAUGUGUGUACAUUAUCUCUUGAUGAAACCUGGCCUUAAUGUUGAAUCAAGUCUUUAAACUUGUUUAAAUGGGUUAGGUGUUCAAGAUUUUGGCCUUUUCCAUAUAUUUUUUUAAUCAUAAAGAAAAUAAUUUGGAAUCAUGAGAUUUUAUUUUUAGUUCCUUUAUCUUUUUCCAAUAACUAAUGCUUUGAGCUCUAGUUUUGGUUCUUUUGCUCUAGGCAUCUUUCUUCUUAUUUGCUAAAAUGUUGUGUGAGUUUUUCCUACUUUGGAGCUUCAUUUGUUCCAUGUUUUAUAGAAAGUCUUAUUUUUCUCUUUACUAUUGGAUGGAAUGUGAGGUUCUUGCCAAACAACUUGCAAGUUUAGGUGCUAAGCUUAUCAUUUCUGCUUGAAAUGAAGCUGAAUUAGAGAGAGUCAAGAAACAGCUUUCUGAAAAUUCAAGUGGUAUAAUUAUAUCAUCACAAAUUUUAUAUUAUGAGAUGGCUACAAUGACUCAUUUUGAAAUAUAAGGGAAGACACCUGCACCAGGUCAGGCCGUAUACUCUGCUUCUAAAUUUGCUCUAAUUGGGUACUUUCACACUCUGCGUUCUGAGGUGCAAGCUUGGAUU